UGCCCCGUCGUUCAAUGGCAGGACCUCCGGCUUUGGACCGGAAGAUCGUGGUUCGAAUCCACGCGGGGCAA
This 71-nucleotide transfer RNA is filed under the name Gemmatirosa kalamazoonensis. RNAcentral's name for it is "tRNA-Gln (TTG) (tRNA-Gln-TTG-1-1)". It matches the Rfam family "tRNA". From Rfam's summary of the family: Transfer RNA (tRNA) molecules are approximately 80 nucleotides in length. Their secondary structure includes four short double-helical elements and three loops (D, anti-codon, and T loops). RNAcentral also lists the same sequence under 2 other names. Lineage: Bacteria; Pseudomonadati; Gemmatimonadota; Gemmatimonadia; Gemmatimonadales; Gemmatimonadaceae. The record is from Rfam by way of RNAcentral.